GACGAACGCUGGCGGCGUGCUUAACACAUGCAAGUCGAACGGCAAGGCCCUGCUUUUGUGGGGUGCUCGAGUGGCGAACGGGUGAGUAACACGUGAGUAACCUGCCCUUGACUUUGGGAUAACUUCAGGAAACUGGGGCUAAUACCGGAUAGGAGCUCCUGCUGCAUGGUGGGGGUUGGAAAGUUUCGGCUGUUGGGGAUGGACUCGCGGCUUAUCAGCUUGUUGGUGGGGUAGUGGCUUACCCAGGCUUUGACGGGUAGCCGGCCUGAGAGGGUGACCGGCCACAUUGGGACUGAGAUACGGCCCAGACUCCUACGGGAGGCAGAAGGGGGGAAUAUUGCACAAUGGGCGGAAGCCUGAUGCAGAAACGCCGCGUGCGGGAUGACGGCCUUCGGGUUGUAAACCGCUUUCGCCUGUGACGAAGCGUGAGUGACGGUAAUGGGUAAAGAAGCACCGGCUAACUACGUG
This 468-nucleotide ribosomal RNA is filed under the name uncultured bacterium. RNAcentral's name for it is "partial 16S ribosomal RNA". It matches the Rfam family "Bacterial small subunit ribosomal RNA", at positions 28 to 507 of the family's 1533-position model. The record is from RNAcentral.